CCCUUAGAUGUUCUGGGCCGCACGCGCGCUACACUGACGGAGGCAGCGAGCAUGUCCUUCGCCGAGAGGUGUGGGGAAUCUUGUGAGUCUCCGUCGUGCUGGGGAUAGAUGGUUGCAAUUGUCGAUCUUGAACGAGGAAUUCCUAGUAAGCGCGAGUCAUCAGCUCGCGCUGAUUACGUCCCUGCCCUUUGUACACGCCGCCCAUCGCUACUACCGAUUGGAUGGUUUAGCGAGAACCUUGGAUUGGAGCCCAGGUGGUCGGCAACGGCCGCUCGGGAUGCCGAGAAAUUGCUCCAGCUGACUCAUCUAGAGGAAGUAAAAGUCGUAACA
RNAcentral lists this ribosomal RNA (330 nucleotides) under uncultured eukaryote. Its description in RNAcentral is "partial 18S ribosomal RNA". It matches the Rfam family "Eukaryotic small subunit ribosomal RNA", at positions 1470 to 1796 of the family's 1831-position model. The record is from RNAcentral.